RNAcentral lists this ribosomal RNA (521 nucleotides) under Bacillus sp. (in: firmicutes). RNAcentral describes it as "bacterial SSU rRNA". It matches the Rfam family "Bacterial small subunit ribosomal RNA", at positions 13 to 518 of the family's 1533-position model. The record is from RNAcentral. Lineage: Bacteria; Bacillati; Bacillota; Bacilli; Caryophanales; Bacillaceae.
UUGAUCAUGGCUCAGGACGAACGCUGGCGGCGUGCCUAAUACAUGCAAGUCGAGCGGACAGAUGGGAGCUUGCUCCCUGAUGUUAGCGGCGGACGGGUGAGUAACACGUGGGUAACCUGCCUGUAAGACUGGGAUAACUCCGGGAAACCGGGGCUAAUACCGGAUGGUUGUCUGAACCGCAUGGUUCAGACAUAAAAGGUGGCUUCGGCUACCACUUACAGAUGGACCCGCGGCGCAUUAGCUAGUUGGUGAGGUAACGGCUCACCAAGGCGACGAUGCGUAGCCGACCUGAGAGGGUGAUCGGCCACACUGGGACUGAGACACGGCCCAGACUCCUACGGGAGGCAGCAGUAGGGAAUCUUCCGCAAUGGACGAAAGUCUGACGGAGCAACGCCGCGUGAGUGAUGAAGGUUUUCGGAUCGUAAAGCUCUGNNNUAGGGAAGAACAAGUGCCGUCAAAUAGGGCGGCACCUUGACGGUACCUAACCAGAAAGCCACGGCUAACUACGUGCCAGCAGCCGC